UUGCUGGGGCCACCCCUUAUAUAACUGCUGCAGAGGAGAAACUGCACAGCAUGAUAGUGGAUCUGGAUAGCGUGGUCAAAAAGGUCCAGGCUGCUCAGUCAGAGGCUAAGGUGGUGUCUCAAUAUCAUGAACUUGUGGUCCAAGCAAGGGAUGACUUUAGAAAAGAGCUGGACAGCAUCACUCCAGACAUCACUCCUGGAUGGAAAGGGAUGAGUAUUUCUGACCUAGGUGAGUAAUUAUGUAAAUUUUAUGUUUAAUGGCAUUCUUUUGGAUGUUGAAAUACUGAACUCUUUCUGGUGUGUGUGAGGGUGUGUGUGUGUAUGAGGGUGUGUGUGUGUGAGGGAGAGGGAGAGGGAGGGAGAGAGAGUGACAAUAAGGUCUUUGUUUUACUUGUUAUUUCAAAGAGCUUCAAACAUU
This 417-nucleotide long non-coding RNA is filed under the name Rattus norvegicus (Norway rat). RNAcentral describes it as "long non-coding RNA NONRATT020552". The record is from RNAcentral. Lineage: Eukaryota; Metazoa; Chordata; Mammalia; Rodentia; Muridae.